RNAcentral lists this small RNA (36 nucleotides) under Bombyx mori (domestic silkworm). Its description in RNAcentral is "ovarian small RNA-11373". Lineage: Eukaryota; Metazoa; Arthropoda; Insecta; Lepidoptera; Bombycidae. The record is from RNAcentral.
ACCUGAAAUGAUUAAAGGCUAUUCGACGCGAAAAAA